This 1357-nucleotide ribosomal RNA is filed under the name Microbacterium arborescens. RNAcentral's name for it is "bacterial SSU rRNA". It matches the Rfam family "Bacterial small subunit ribosomal RNA", at positions 59 to 1429 of the family's 1533-position model. Lineage: Bacteria; Bacillati; Actinomycetota; Actinomycetes; Micrococcales; Microbacteriaceae. The record is from RNAcentral.
CAGUCGAACGGUGAAGCAGAGCUUGCUCUGUGGAUCAGUGGCGAACGGGUGAGUAACACGUGAGCAAUCUGCCCCUGACUCUGGGAUAAGCGCUGGAAACGGCGUCUAAUACCGGAUACGAGCUGCGACCGCAUGGUCAGUAGCUGGAAAGAAUUUCGGUCAGGGAUGAGCUCGCGGCCUAUCAGCUUGUUGGUGAGGUAAUGGCUCACCAAGGCGUCGACGGGUAGCCGGCCUGAGAGGGUGACCGGCCACACUGGGACUGAGACACGGCCCAGACUCCUACGGGAGGCAGCAGUGGGGAAUAUUGCACAAUGGGCGAAAGCCUGAUGCAGCAACGCCGCGUGAGGGAUGACGGCCUUCGGGUUGUAAACCUCUUUUAGCAGGGAAGAAGCGAAAGUGACGGUACCUGCAGAAAAAGCGCCGGCUAACUACGUGCCAGCAGCCGCGGUAAUACGUAGGGCGCAAGCGUUAUCCGGAAUUAUUGGGCGUAAAGAGCUCGUAGGCGGUCUGUCGCGUCUGCUGUGAAAACCCGAGGCUCAACCUCGGGCCUGCAGUGGGUACGGGCAGACUAGAGUGCGGUAGGGGAGAUUGGAAUUCCUGGUGUAGCGGUGGAAUGCGCAGAUAUCAGGAGGAACACCGAUGGCGAAGGCAGAUCUCUGGGCCGUAACUGACGCUGAGGAGCGAAAGGGUGGGGAGCAAACAGGCUUAGAUACCCUGGUAGUCCACCCCGUAAACGUUGGGAACUAGUUGUGGGGUCCAUUCCACGGAUUCCGUGACGCAGCUAACGCAUUAAGUUCCCCGCCUGGGGAGUACGGCCGCAAGGCUAAAACUCAAAGGAAUUGACGGGGACCCGCACAAGCGGCGGAGCAUGCGGAUUAAUUCGAUGCAACGCGAAGAACCUUACCAAGGCUUGACAUAUAGAGGAAACGUCUGGAAACAGUCGCCCCGCAAGGUCUCUAUACAGGUGGUGCAUGGUUGUCGUCAGCUCGUGUCGUGAGAUGUUGGGUUAAGUCCCGCAACGAGCGCAACCCUCGUUCUAUGUUGCCAGCACGUAAUGGUGGGAACUCAUGGGAUACUGCCGGGGUCAACUCGGAGGAAGGUGGGGAUGACGUCAAAUCAUCAUGCCCCUUAUGUCUUGGGCUUCACGCAUGCUACAAUGGCCGGUACAAAGGGCUGCAAUACCGUGAGGUGGAGCGAAUCCCAAAAAGCCGGUCCCAGUUCGGAUUGAGGUCUGCAACUCGACCUCAUGAAGUCGGAGUCGCUAGUAAUCGCAGAUCAGCAACGCUGCGGUGAAUACGUUCCCGGGUCUUGUACACACCGCCCGUCAAGUCAUGAAAGUCGGUAACACCUGAAGCCG